This is a long non-coding RNA of Brienomyrus brachyistius, 9823 nucleotides long. RefSeq lists it as uncharacterized. Lineage: Eukaryota; Metazoa; Chordata; Actinopteri; Osteoglossiformes; Mormyridae. The transcript has 2 exons. The record is from RefSeq and is a predicted model, not a curated record.
CCAUUUCCAGGACCAAAGAAUAAUCAUGAGUGCACGAACUAUUACACACCCACAGAAAAAACGUAUUUAUUUUAUACAUUUCCCUCAUUAUUUAACAACAUCAGAUAUGUGUAUAGGUCUACAUAAUAGGUUAAUAUAAUGCAAAAAUAUUGGUGUUAGAUUAAUUAAUUUUGUUGACCGUCUAAUAAGAUUACUUACGUUGUUCAUGUAGCUUCCUGGUUUGAAAAAAAAGCCGUAAACCUGACACUGAAAUAGUCUGAGGUGUGCAGCUAAGAUAUUGGCUACCGCGUGUAAUCAAAAGGACGGUAUUUCCCUGUCACCAAUAUAGCUACGGUUUCGUAUCUGAGCUACAUUAAACAAACGAGGAAGAUAUACAUAAGUGGCAGAGCUACGUGUAUUGUAUGCUUUAAAAAUGUCUUUAUUUUCGCAGUAAGGACAAGUGGGAAGUGGGCGCAAGAUAGACACCCUGUCACUCAGAGCGGAUGAACGCUGCGGUGCUGCAUGCAGUUGCGCACCUCCGUGAAGUAACGCUGCAGUCGAUCGGAGCUCACGGGCGAGCCGUUACCGACGAGAGCUGAGGCGAGGCACAAGCAGAACUGCAGCAGUAUCAUACGUUACUCGUCGGGAACAAUUCCCUGCAUUAUCUGCGACUCACGUGCCUGCACGUCACACACAGAUAUCCUGCAGUGAUCCAUGUAAAAAAUACAAGCAGUGCGUUCAUAUCAUACUAUUUUUAAUACGAAAGUUUUAACUGCAAUGUUGGAAAUGAAAACAAUUAUGAUAUUUGAAAAACAAGCAUAAUUUCUGAAGUUUAUGGUCCGAUAGUUUUAGGAAGACAUGUCGAACCCAUCUCUGGAUAUUGACCAAAAAAAAAAAACUCAACAAAAACAUUUUCCUGACUUCCCAACUCUGUAGCAGACUGGCUAGAGAAAUUCGAUGGCCGUUAUAGAUCUCUUUUGGCUGUCCCGUCACCGUAACAGCUGUUAUUUCUCUCCCAAAACCAAUAAUCAAACGCAGAGAAGACUUUGCGCAUCGUUUUACAUUGCGCGGUCUUUCGGCUAAAUAAAUGCAACUUUUUGUAUUUUAUAUUGACUUUUCGCCUAAGUACUUCGUCAGCGAUAAUAUCGACACAGGAAUUGCACCGUAAUCAUUCUACUCAUUCUGCUUAAAACAAAUUAACAAACAGCCAAUUCUGUCUUUUGUAACCCCAUACAACUAUUUUUAUUUUCUUUACGUCGUACGGGCACAUAACAGCCCAAGGGAAAUUAUUAAUAAAGGCAAAAAAACGAUAAACCACAAAAAAAUCCUCCACAUUUAUAAGGCAUAUUGGCAGAGCCUUUGAAAGUUUUAAAAAUGUUCUUACUAUUAAACUAAAAUCAUUAAACAGGUACACUUUUUAUAAUGGGAUUAUUAUACGAGCUGCAGUUGAUUUUUUUUUCUCUAUGAAUUACACAAAGCCGGUGGGCAGACCCAUUUUCCUUUUAAAACAGUGGCAUGGAGAAAUGAGAAAUUAUAACAUUAUCCCCUGUCCAACGCGAAUGGGAAACGGGUAGUCUCAGCGAACAGUUGCUCUAGUUUAGAUUAAUGGUUCCCCGCGCUUAUUCUGCAAUACGGGUGAAAGGGCUAGGAUCACUAAUGAUUAUAAUAUAAUGCCUGGUGAUAACCACUCCCUUUGAGAUAUUAUCGCGCAGUGGGCAAUGCUCAGGGGACGAGCUGCGAGGCUGAAAAUCGGCAGAUAGCUGCUGAAGGGGCGGCUUUCUCGCGCUGAGACCCCAUAAGCGAGUGCUGUUCUGUCCGCCACUGAUAUCAACGACCCGGGGAUAAAUUAAAGCAGAAAGACUGGUGGAUGGUAGGUCCGAGGUGUCUUUUACCCAAUGUUUUUUUUUUUUUUUUUUUUUGCGUAUGUGGCAAUAAAGAAAAAUAACACGUAGGAUACGGACAAUACCGAUAUCUUAAAUGUCCACGUAGACAACGCAAAAAGGAAGUAAAACUUUAUAUGUCGUAUAAUGUCUUUUUAAUGUACAGCAGUGGAUAAAAAAAAACAUUUCUGACUUUUUUGUUUAACAUGUUUUAGUUUUGGUGACAACAUAGUCAACUAGGCUAUUUAGUUGUAUGAUAGCGGGAACAGAAAAUGGAUGGAUGGAUGGAUGCUCUUACAAUUAUUUGUUUGAAUUUAAUAAGGCACAAGGUUAUAUGAAACAACAAAAAUCUCACCCGAAAUAUUUUGUAAGUGGAAUGUAUGUAUUACUAUUAUGAUUUACCUAAACGAGCGUAUUAUCGCACUAAAUAUAACCGGACAAAGCUUUUAAAUUAUUAUUAUUUAAGUCAGAAAAGUUGUAAUUAAUUCAAAGAAUCUGAAGGCAUUUUCAAAAAUUGGGCCAAUGCAACGAUCAUCACGUCAGGGAUUAAUGAGCAGAUCAACACGAAUCAAGGGAGCGCUGUUCUGCACCAGUACACAAGUGCGGUGAAACAGAGAUAAAUUGUCUCGUACAUGAUACAGCGCUUUUAAAAACCGGGGACGUUAAAAACGAAACGUAUCAAAAACAGGAGAAAACGGUAUUGUUUCUUUUCUUCCCCAAAAAGUCUUCCACGCGUUUUAAUAAACGGACUUGUUGUAAAAAAAAAUAGAACUAAAAUAUUCUAUAUGUACCAAGCUGUCAAUGGGAGAGGAGGCAGGAAAAGCGGAGAAUUGUUUCAUACAAAAGCCUCAAUUAUCACUACUGGACUGGGCAAUAAAUAAAUAAAUAUAACGUGCCAUUGCCAUUGGCAGGUAAUCAGUAAUAAAGGUUGCCCGAAGAACUUAUUUGAAAGAACUCCAGCCAACUGAACUGAGGGUGGAGAUGGAGGCACAGUGAUCUAAAGGAGCACGAGAGACACACCACAGGCAAUCUCGUGCCAUUCGUCUUCAUUGCCUUCUGUGUGCGCAAAAAGCAAGCCUUGCAUAAGGUAAAGCCACCAUCAAAGCCGUGGCUUUAUUUUAUAUCCUAUAGAUCAGGAGGGAGACAAAGCUUUAUUUUCGUCAGGAGAGAGAUAUUUUACCUCCGCCUUACGGUUUUAUGUUGGAGAGGUGUCAGGCGGAGGAAAUGGAUGGCUAAUGCAUAGGCAAAACGCGGCCGCUCCGGCAUGCUGCACGUCAGUGGGCGCUCGGAGGGGGAGCGCAGCGGGGAUUUAGGGCCUGUGGGAGCCGAGCUGGGGUUGCAGCUUGGGGAUAUAAAUACGCUAGGCCUCUUUAGAGCCACACAUACGCGCGCACAUACAGCAAAACUGGGAUUGAACCGAGACCCGUAAUUUCCCCUGAUAAAUAUAUACAUCUACAUGAAGAUGCUAUAGACGAUAUGUUGACAAACAAGACAAUUAAAAACGUAAAUAAAACACGUAAAAAUCUACGAGAAAAUGUUUUUGCGCUAAGCUUGAAACAGAUUCUGCGUUGUUUUUUAAUUAUUUGAUCAUCCCUGGUUUAAUUUUAGUUCAACAUAGACAGAAGUCCUGAAAUCCAGUCGAAGACAGCGUUAAUUAGUUUUUCAAUUCCUUUUUAAAACACACACAACCCCGUCAUGUUUCUUUCCAUGUUAAAUGGAAAUCUAAAGAAGGAAUUUACUGCAUACUGGAAUAACUGCUUACAAAUAAGCACACAUUUCGCUGUGGGUUCAGUGACACUGUUUGGUCGUAUAAAAUCAGCGCAUAUAUUACAGUACACAGCAAAUAAUCUUAGUGAAAGCCACGUGAUGUGGAUUCGUAUCAAAUUAUGGAAGAUUCAAACAAUCAUAUUUGGCUUACGAAAUGUAUGCAGAAUACAUGUGAUUUACUGUAGAGUUAUAAAAGAGAAUUUAAACUCCCGCAGUCCCAAAGAUUCGAAAUCAUAAUUUAACAAUGGACCGCCCAUUCAUUUCCGUGGACACACACCAAUGCUAAUAGCUGUGGCGGCUUUUCAACGAAAGCUAAACCGUAGACUCUGGCAAGGAAUCAGACUUUUUUCUUUGUGUGUGUUUUUGUAAUUUUUUCGUAAACCAAAAACACUAGGCAGAAGGUGUUCUGUACUUUACAAACUGAACAAGGUAAGUCCAGCAAACGGCAGCAUAGCCAUGCAAACCUACUCGUAAUGACGACAUAAGGCAAGUCGAAAAAAGUUUAGCUACCGCGACUGAAAUAAUACAGAUCAUGUUAGUGCAAAAAACAUGCUCGUGGAAGACGGCGGUAAUUUCCUUAUAUUUCGUUACGUUGUAAAAAGAGGACAUUUAGCAGACAACCACAGCAAGGGCAUAAACAUACUGCAGAUUUAACACCAUGGGGGUGUCGCCCUGUUAAUUAGACUGGAUAGUACUCCGCGAUAUCUACCUUGGGAGUUGGGAAAAGUCUGGCCCAAACAGGCCGUAAAUACAGUUUAUACACGCAUUUAAAUUUUGACUUCUGCAUUUGUAUUCGAUAAUUUUGGAAUUUUUGCUGAACAUAGAGAUAACAUAAUGUUAUAGGACAUUACACAUCACAUUUACAUCAGUUUCACCAUGAUAUAUAUGUGAUCACUAAUAUUCGACAUGACCUUGUUAAACCUGUUGUCACCAGCACUCACCUUACUUUAGUUAAAUGACUGAAAGAAAUGAAAUAAAAUAAGGAAAAUGAAAAUAAUGGGUUUAAUUAGGAUACGCUAAAGCAGGUGUGUAGCGGGAUGCAGAAUUUCUUGGGGUGUUUAAAAGGGAGGCUGAGUGUUCAUGUGCUCUAGGCCUUGCGUGAGGCCGCUGUUAGCUCCUCCAGGCUGACUUGCUUACUGAAUGGAGGCUGAUAUGUUCCCAUACAGCCAUGUGAAAGCAGAGUCGGUGGGAGGCCGUGCAAAUUGUUUUCCCUCAGCACACUCUGUGAUGAGAUGCUGACUCCGCACCCUGAGAUUCGCUCCCUGUGUGGGUUUUGCCUGAACGGGCCAUCAGGUAGAAGCUGCAGGGAGCUGGGCUGGGCUGGGGGGGCCGGCUGGGGGGGCAGAGUGGCUUGCGCGAGGCCUUUCCCGCCUACUGACAAGUUGAAGAGGUGAGAGGGUUGCGACCUCGUGGUGCUGCUUUACAGGGAGGGGAAGGGGGCAGAUCUGGCCUCUGCAUCAAGGUGUGGGUGUGGCAGGAAUGAGCCGGUGGUGGCUGGGGUCUGAAUAGCAGUGCAGGUAUGAGGAGGACCAGGGUGCUUGUGACAGCACUGGAGCCAUAGCAGGCACUGCGAUCCCUGGCACUGCUUCUGCAUUGGGUUUGAGCUUGGUGAUCCCUGUGCCGAGCCCAUGUGACACUGCUUCAUGACGAUCCCUUUAGGUGAUCCCUGUGCCGAUCCCAUGUGACACUGCUUCAUGACGAUCCCUUUAGGUGAUCCCUGUGCCGAGCCCAUGUGACACUGCUUCAUGACGAUCCCUUUAGGUGAUCCCUGUGCCGAGCCCAUGUGACACUGCUUCAUGACGAUCCCUUUAGGUGAUCCCUGUGCCGAGCCCAUGUGACACUGCUUCAUGACGAUCCCUUUAGGUGAUCCCUGUGCCGAGCCCAUGUGACACUGCUUCAUGACGAUCCCUUUAGGUGAUCCCUGUGCCGAGCCCAUGUGACACUGCUUCAUGACGAUCCCUUUAGGUGAUCCCUGUGCCGAGCCCAUGUGACACUGCUUCAUGACGAUCCCUUUAGGUGAUCCCUGUGCCGAGCCCAUGUGACACUGCUUCAUGACGAUCCCUUUAGGUGAUCCCUGUGCCGAUCCCAUGUGACACUGCUUCAUGACGAUCCCUUUAGGUGAUCCCUGUGCCGAGCCCAUGUGACACUGCUUCAUGACGAUCCCUUUAGGUGAUCCCUGUGCCGAGCCCAUGUGACACUGCUUCAUGACGAUCCCUUUAGGUGAUCCCUGUGCCGAGCCCAUGUGACACUGCUUCAUGACGAUCCCUUUAGGUGAUCCCUGUGCCGAGCCCAUGUGACACUGCUUCAUGACGAUCCCUUUAGGUGAUCCCUGUGCCGAGCCCAUGUGACACUGCUUCAUGACGAUCCCUUUAGGUGAUCCCUGUGCCGAUCUCAUGUGACACUGCUUUAUAAUGAUCCCUUUAGGUGAUCCCUGUGCCGAUCCCAUGUGACACUACUUCAUGAUGAUCCCCUUAGGUGAUCCUCGUGAAAAUCCUAUGUGGAACUCUGUCCUGGUGAUCCCGCUAGUUGAUCCUCAUGGCAAUCCCAUGUGACACUGUCAUAACGAUCUCACCUGGUGAUACCUGUGGUGGUCCAUUGUGGCAUGACAUUAAGGUGAUCCCAUAUGGCACUCCAUCACAGCAAUCUGACAAAUUAAUCCCCGUGGCAAUCUCACACGGAAGUCCAGCAUGGUCAUUCUGAAAGUGAUGCUAUAUGGAGUUCCAUCACAGCAAUCCUACAUGGUGGUUCCUGUGCUGAGCCUCUAUGGCUCCCUGUCACAGUGAUCCUACAUGGUGGUUCCUGUGCUGAGCCUCUAUGGCACCCUGUCACGGUGAUCCUACAUGGUGGUUCCUGUGCUGAGCCUCUAUGGCACUCUGUCACGGUGAUCCUACAUGGUGGUUCCUGUGCUGAGCCUCUAUGGCACCCUGUCACGGUGAUCCUACAUGGUGGUUCCUGUGCUGAGCCUCUAUGGCACCCUGUCACGGUGAUCCUACAUGGUGGUUCCUGUGCUGAGCCUCUACGGCACCCUGUUAUGGUGAUCCUGGAUGUUAGUCCCAUGUGACAAACCUUCCUGAUGAUCCACCAUGGCCAUCACAAGCGAAUAACCUGUGUGGCAGCGAUCCUCCAUUGUGAUCUUGCACGGCAGAGAUCCUCCAACUGGAAUUGGCUGAAAUGGAGUGGACCAGGGCAGGGUAAGCACAGGAGCAGCAAACAUCACAAUAAAUACAAAGAGAACACAGGGACAAAGGCACAUCUCCAACUCGCCAUCUCGAAACAAUCAAAAUCUGACCUGGGGAGAAGUACCUUGCCCGCCCGUCCCCCCAACCACAGCUGCUUAAUAUGCAUUAACUUCUUUGGGACUUUAGGGUGUGGGAGGGAAUUAGCACCCAACACAGUUAAACCUUGCUCUCUAAUAAAUCAUGUAAUCCGUGCUACUGGAAGACAAAAGAGCUUCAGAUGUAAUCAUGCUGUUGGAAUCCUCUUAUCAGAUCAUCGCAGGCUGAACACCCCCCCCCCCCCAUACACACGCAUACAUUUCUGACUUCAGAAACGCACACUGAUGUCCAUUAGCGGCAGCCCUUCUCCCUCUCUAUCUGUAUGUAUGCAUCUACUCGGGAAUUCAUCUUUUCCCUACAUACCUUUGUGUGUGAUAACUAUACAUCCAUUGCAGAUAGAUGGCCGGAGAGAUCCCGUAUUUCCCGUGUCUUUGUAGCGAUGCCGUAAGCUGCCAUGAAUCAAACCGAAAGCAGCACACUAGGGCACAAUUACGUGAAAUAUAUUGUGGCUCUGUGGUUACUUUACAUUGUAAUAGAUGAAUUGUGAUAGGAAAGAAUAUUCCAUUUGUAUCCAAGUAGCAUGAAUGAGAAGGACGAUGGAAAGGGGUUAGCAGAUUGCAGUGAGAGGGAAAACAGUGUAAUUACACAUGGGUUUGAUCAGGUUUCCGAUCCUUCACACGUGAGAUUUGCAGUCUGUAUGAUGUCACUGGAAUCCUGCCGUUCGGCAAUUGUAUCCAAACUUGGAUUUUCUGAGCCAGUGGCCUGGGAAUUCAUAGGAGACACAGGCUUCUGUGGGGACAUUGUUCCUCGGGUUCACCAUCCCAGCAUUUGCGGGCCGAAUAUGUGAAGUGUGAGGAAGGAACUCGAUCGAUUCAACACAGAAAAACUGGGGGAGGACAAAGCAGCAUGAGGAAAAAAACACAAAGCGGAAGAAAAUGAACUUCAGUGCGUCUUUCCUCACGAUGGUAAUGAAAAUCGCACUUUCAUCAAUUGGAAAUGGUUACGAAUGAUGCAAUUACGGGCGUCUCCCUUUAAUACUGCUGCAAGCUGACAAAUAUCGCCAUCAGAGUAAUGAAAGUGGCCUCAAGUCAUGCACCUUUAAGUGAGCCCCAGCGGCCAAGGUGAGCUCGAGUGUCGGGCUGCAGACCAAUCUGCUCCAUCGCAUUUAAGGAGCUUAGAUGCUGCUGCUGUAACAUCAGACUUAAGCACUUUCUAUCAUUUAACCACUUUUACCAAAAGUUGGCCUAUUAUUGAUAUGUCGUUGCUGUUCAAUGAAAAACACGUAUCUCCAAAACAGUUUCACAGAGUGUGAAAAAAAGCAUUUUCGCAGAAAUGUACAAAAUAAACCUAAAACAAAGUACUGAGGCACCUUUAGCAGUGAUGUGUUCCAAUGGUGUCGUUAGUUCGAACCUCGCCUCUGUGUUCGGGAACUCGGUCGGGUUUUGACAGCUAAUCUAAAUAUGUGGACGUAAUCAGUGCUCUAUUCAACUGUACAUUUACCAUUGUACAAAACUCUUCUAAUUCGUAAAAUAUUGUGCGAUAUCAAACGCUAUCAGUAGACAGGAGAAUGUCCACAUUCCAUCUACAGUAAAAAGUCUCAGUCGUCAGAAAGUGGACAUAUGUGGUUUUCAUACAGUGUCUCCCAUGAUAAAAUGUCCAACAGUCGUGUAACAUGCCAGUGCAUAUCCGUUACUUUUCUCUGUUUCCUGCAAAUGACACCAUGUGACUGUCAUCCUCUCAAAAAUCCCCCUUUUCAUCCACCUUCGUUCUCUCUUUUAGGAAUCAGGAAAUGGUUUGCAGGUUAUGUUCUUGUCUGUGACCGGUGGCAACAGACGUAAUUAAUUAUAUUUAAGGAGUAUCACCGCAGUAGAUUAUUCAGUUAUUACCUUGCUUACAGUGUGGUUAAGAUAGCAGACCCGUGUGUCUACCUCCUCUCUCUCCUGUAACAAGACACGUGAAACUUUAAUGGGGUAAUAGUCUCAGUCAUUAAGCAGUGCAGCCCUGACAGCACUGACUUCAGUAGGAUUUCCCCUUUUUUUUACCUUAAUGUUCUCAGGAUAGUGAAGUGGCCCUCCAUGGACCCACAGGUGUGCCGUAUUGUCCUCUCGGCGUGACGGAUCUGUGAAAGAGCACGGCAGUCACCUGAGCCUGGGCUUCUGUGUAAAAAGCUGAUUGUCGGGACAUUAUCGACUCACUUCCCUGUGUAAUUCGCAGGGAGGGGAAAAAAAAAAAGAUAAACUUUUAUCUUGGUGAGACAGCGGAGGGGGUGGGUGAGAGUUCACUCUACCUUAAGCCCGAAACACUGAGAACAUUAGCGGGGGGCUGCCACCCUCCCCUGUUACAGUCAGCUGAGGCGGCCGUGUUUCUAAUCUCUGGGGGGGAUGGGGGACUGACAUUCGGCUCUGCGGUCGCAUGCCAGUUUUUGCGAAGUGCCAUUAGUCAUUUCUGCUUAUGACGUGGCGAAGCUUUUUCCAUCGGCCUGUAUGUUCUGUUCGAUAUCCUUGCAUUGACCGAGCGGCGUGCCAGCGAGGACGGCGGCAGCGGCGGCUCCCGUGCGCCUGACGGGACAAGGCCCCGGACGUGGCUCGCGACGCUCGAGGUGAAGGAGAGAGAUACGCCGGGCCCCGCAGUCACACGGACGCACGUCGCCAGAUUGAGCCCAGAUUACGCCUGCGACCCGCUGUUCGGCAAGAGGGGAUCACACACGCCGGCGUAUCCGCCGGAGCGGCAGCCGUGACACGCGUGGCGGCGUGCAGAAAUAAUGUUUCUGUCCUUAGAACAUGCCGGAAGGACAAGAAUUAGUGCUGGGGGUUCUGAGCAACACGACUGCAGUCUUGAUUUUUGUACACUCUGCGCUUAUUGUUGCAUCUGGAUGAUCUAGUGUGUCAAUAAAAGGCAAAAAAAAGUGUUUUUUCCUCUCAA